GGGCCCGCACAAGCGGUGGAGCAUGUGGUUUAAUUCGAUGCAACGCGAAGAACCUUACCUACUCUUGACAUCCAGAGAAGCCAGCGGAGACGCAGGUGUGCCUUCGGGAGCUCUGAGACAGGUGCUGCAUGGCUGUCGUCAGCUCGUGUUGUGAAAUGUUGGGUUAAGUCCCGCAACGAGCGCAACCCUUAUCCUUGUUUGCCAGCGAGUAAUGUCGGGAACUCCAGGGAGACUGCCGGUGAUAAACCGGAGGAAGGUGGGGACGACGUCAAGUCAUCAUGGCCCUUACGAGUAGGGCUACACACGUGCUACAAUGGCGCAUACAGAGGGCAGCGAACUUGCGAGAGUGAGCGAAUCCCAAAAAGUGCGUCGUAGUCCGGAUUGGAGUCUGCAACUCGACUCCAUG
RNAcentral lists this ribosomal RNA (406 nucleotides) under uncultured bacterium. RNAcentral describes it as "bacterial SSU rRNA". It matches the Rfam family "Bacterial small subunit ribosomal RNA", at positions 917 to 1322 of the family's 1533-position model. The record is from RNAcentral.